GUCGGCAUCGUUACCCUGAAGGGUCAGGCCGUUCACGUAGUCAGCGAACUGACCGGGCGCACCACGGCCGCGCUUAGUGCCGAAGUGCGUCCGCAGGUCGGCGGCAUUAUCCAGAAGCGGUUAUUCACCGAAGGCGACGAGGUCAAGGCCGGACAACCGCUGUAUCAGAUUG
RNAcentral lists this non-coding RNA (172 nucleotides) under uncultured Superficieibacter sp. Lineage: Bacteria; Pseudomonadati; Pseudomonadota; Gammaproteobacteria; Enterobacterales; Enterobacteriaceae. The record is from RNAcentral.